AGCAGGUCCACCAUUUUCCAUGUUGUACUUAAUUCCAAAAUCCUCAUGAGGGCCACCUGGGUUGUGACUUGCUGUCAAUAUAAAUGCCCCAGUAGCUUUAGAACCAUCAGCCCCGACUCUCUCACGAACAACAGCUGAUACAGCAGGAGUGGACAAAAGUCCAUUUUGACCAAUCCAAACACGUCUUACUCCAUUUGCUGCUGCCAUUUUUGUAAUGAUCUGGAUAGCAUCCUUUGAAUAGUAUCGGCCAUCACCAGAAACCACAAGUGUAGCACCUUCAACUCUGUCAGCUCCAAGUGCAUUGAAUGUUGCCUGGACAAAAUUUUGCAAGUAAUGAGGUUGUAUGAACACCUUCACCUUCUUGCGGAGACCGGAAGUACCAGGCUUCUGUCCUUCAAAUGGCGUAGUUUCGACGCGAGAAACCUUGAAAUUUGCCAUUUUCUUCAAUCUGAAGAUUUGGAAAGAUGAGUUAGUGAUGGAUGUGUGUGGAGCUUCG
Molecule: unclassified non-coding RNA, 496 nt
Filed under: Hevea brasiliensis (rubber tree)
Lineage: Eukaryota; Viridiplantae; Streptophyta; Magnoliopsida; Malpighiales; Euphorbiaceae
Source: RNAcentral